CGGUAUUGUACUGAUGUUUUUGAUUAUCUAACACUCUCAGCAAUCAUAGAUGGCACUGUGCUUUGUGUCCAUGGUGGCCUUUCUCCUGACAUCCGAACAAUCGAUCAGAUAAGAGUAAUCGAACGCAAUUGUGAAAUUCCACAUGAAGGGCCAUUCUGUGAUCUAAUGUGGAGUGAUCCCGAAGAUAUUGAAACAUGGGCAGUUAGUCCCCGAGGAGCAGGUUGGCUAUUUGGAUCCAGGGUUACUUCUGAGUUCAAUCACAUUAACAAUCUUGAUCUGGUUUGUCGAGCACACCAACUGGUACAAGAAGGUCUGAAGUACAUGUUUCAAGAUAAAGGCUUAGUAACUGUCUGGUCUGCACCAAAUUACUGCUAUCGCUGUGGGAAUGUUGCUUCUAUAUUGAGCUUCAAUGAGAGCAUGGAGAGAGAUGUGAAAUUUUUCACUGAAACAGAGGAGAACAACCAGAUGAGAGGACCCAGAACAGGAGUUCCUUAUUUCUUAUGAUGAGGGAUUCAUUUGCCUUCGUACUUGUAAAAUUGCUGUAGCGCGAAUGCUUAUUGUUGGAAGGAGUUGUAAGGGAAAAGCUGGGAGAACACGUCCUUCUUUGACAUGUUCUGCAGGUGGACCUUGCAUUUGCCUGGUUUGGCAUUUUCCAUCCACUUUAGGUUGCUUUUGGGAUUUGUGGCAUGUGUAUUAUGGUUUCCAAUUAUAUCAUGGCUUUCUUUUUUCCUUUUAUUUAAGUUCUAUCGAAGUCGCUUAUCAUAUCCCAUGCCUUCGAAUUAAAUGUGUAUUAGUCUUCUGUGUUAAUUAGUAUCCGCAAUAGACUAAUACACAUUUA
This 838-nucleotide unclassified non-coding RNA is filed under the name Hevea brasiliensis (rubber tree). The record is from RNAcentral. Lineage: Eukaryota; Viridiplantae; Streptophyta; Magnoliopsida; Malpighiales; Euphorbiaceae.